AUACGGAGGGGGCUAGCGUUGUUCGGAAUCAUUGGGCGUAAAGCGGGUGUAGGCGGCUUGGCAAGUCGGGUGUGAAAUCCCUGGGCUCAACCCAGGAACUGCACUCGAAACUGCCUCGCUAGAGUCUCGGAGAGGGUGGCGGAAUUCCCGGUGUAGAGGUGAAAUUCGUAGAUAUCGGGAGGAACACCAGUGGCGAAGGCGGCCACCUGGACGAUGACUGACGCUCAGACCCGAAAGCGUGGGGAGCAAACAGGAUUAGAUACCCCGGUAGUCC
RNAcentral lists this ribosomal RNA (274 nucleotides) under uncultured bacterium. RNAcentral describes it as "partial 16S ribosomal RNA". It matches the Rfam family "Bacterial small subunit ribosomal RNA", at positions 523 to 796 of the family's 1533-position model. The record is from RNAcentral.